UACGGGGGGGGCAAGCGUUGUUCGGAAUUACUGGGCGUAAAGGGCUCGUAGGCGGCCAACUAAGUCAGACGUGAAAUCCCUCGGCUUAACCGGGGAACUGCGUCUGAUACUGGAUGGCUUGAGUUUGGGAGAGGGAUGCGGAAUUCCAGGUGUAGCGGUGAAAUGCGUAGAUAUCUGGAGGAACACCGGUGGCGAAGGCGGAGACCUGGGCCAAUACUGACGCUGAGGUGCGAAAGCGUGGGGAGCAAACAGG
Molecule: ribosomal RNA, 253 nt
Filed under: uncultured bacterium
Lineage: Bacteria
Description: partial 16S ribosomal RNA
Rfam family: Bacterial small subunit ribosomal RNA
Source: RNAcentral